Ornithodoros turicata is the source of this 1153-nucleotide long non-coding RNA. RefSeq lists it as uncharacterized. The record is from RefSeq and is a predicted model, not a curated record. NCBI's taxonomy places the organism in Eukaryota, Metazoa, Arthropoda, Arachnida, Ixodida, Argasidae. The transcript has 2 exons.
UAAAGUGCUUAAAAGGCGACGCUGCUGUGAAAAAAGGGGCCUUCUGCUGCUUGUCGGCUAGACGGUGCGGAUCGGAGAAGUCUUUCGACAAUGUCGCAGUCUCGCAGGCACCUUGCAGGCCAGAGUUUCUGCCAAAGUCAUCACGCCUACGGACUCAACUAGCAGUUAGAGGUCCUCCCGCUUCCGGUCUGUGGCCACAUGGACUGUUGUGGCAGACGGUGCACCAGCCUCAUGGGCCACUCGUUCGAGAUGGCCUGCUCAGUCGUGGCCUCUUCGAGGGACGGAUUUGGGCCAGGUCCCCGCACCUUUCCGGGGCUUGACAUCGAACAGCGUCACCCGACGGAUCCCGUAUACGGAGGAGCGCCGUAUUCUCUGUCCCGCCUCCCAAGUGCCCAACAUUCAUAGGAUAUCCCAUCGCAGAGGCACACUUCAUCGUAGAGUUGAAGCUGUUCGUGCUCCACGAGUUGCUCUGGAGCAUGUGCAAGCCAUGAUCGCCAGACAUCGUCCAGAUCUCCUACGACAGCCAGAAGCUCAACUUGAUGUGCCUCCCGAGCGCAUGGACAAUGUGCUGAUGUCAGUGGCGUAUCUAGGGUGUGGCAGGUGUGGACAGGUGCCAUGGGCGCCAGGUGAACAGGGGCGCCAUUAUGUGGUCGGGUGUGAAUGUGCCAGGUCGGGCACUCAACCUGGCACAUUCAUAAAUGAUCUAAAGCACCCGCCAUUAGAGAGGUUGUAGCGUGAAACCUAGUGCGGACCACACGAAAACGCAUCCCCAAGGACAUCAUGUUAACCAUGUUGCCAUGGGCGCAGGUAGCUCUAGAUACGCCACUGGCUGAUGUCUCCGAUGACCUCUGAAUGUGAAAAGCAGCCCUGACCGUGUUUGUCCCUUUGUUUUUGUGAACUCCCAAAAGGCUGUGUGACAGUUCGGUUUCGGACAAUCUAGUCCAUCUUAACUUAUCGUGAUCUCGGUACGUUCGCCACGUUCGACGUCGUACGGGAGGGUGUCUAGUUAUCUGGGCUUGUUUUGUGGCGCGAAGCGAGCGCCCUUGAAAUGCUUAAGAAGCGACGCUGUCGUGAACAAAGGGCCUGCUUACCAGCUAGACGGUGCGGAUCGGGAAAUUCUUUUGGUAUGGAAUAAACUAUUGUUUGCAUUGUA